RNAcentral lists this unclassified non-coding RNA (1409 nucleotides) under Hevea brasiliensis (rubber tree). The record is from RNAcentral. Lineage: Eukaryota; Viridiplantae; Streptophyta; Magnoliopsida; Malpighiales; Euphorbiaceae.
GGAACAUUGUUUAUAGUUGGAGGUAUGGCUUGGUUUUGUUUUACAUAUAAUUUGAAUUUCAAUGUCUGUGGAAUUUCAAUAUCAGUAACAUGAUAUUCAAUUCUUGCAUCUUUCUUGUGGCUGAUAUUGUUUAAACAAGAUAGGAUGAUAUUUAUCACUGGUUGUCUUCUUUGCAUGUUCCUGCUGUUCAAUAAUUAAUAUUAGAAUAAUAUGUUUCUCAAAUAAAAUUUCCUUUUGUUCGUCGUCAGCUUUAACUGGGUCAAACAAUGUGGAUUAUAUUUUCUUGAACUGUGUGCUCCACCAACACAGUUAAAUAAUUAAAGUUAUUGGCUUAAAGCUUUGCUUACGCAAUAACCCUUAAGGCAUUGAAUUGCUUUGUUAGGCAUGAAUAACUCCAGAGUCCAGAUUUAGCUAACACAAAAAAGAAAUUGGAAAAAUAAAUGAGUAAUCUGCAGUUUGAGAUCCUUUGUAUUAUCAAUGCCAUUUCACUUGAUUCCUUUUGAUGUACAGACUAAACUUAAUCAUCCUGGGUACCCUCAGGUAGUACUGCUGUUAAAUUUGCAUUCAUGCAUUUACUUGUCAUUUCUGAUGGGAAAUAGCAUAUAUUGAUUUGACUUGCACGCAUAGUCUGAAAUUUUAUAGAUGGUAACUCUUAUGUGGGCAUUGACAAAUAAUGUGCUUAUACAUAAGGAUAGCCUUUUUGCGUUUGCUAAAAAGGAAUCAUUAAAGAACAAAUUCAACUCUUUAAUAUUAGGAUUAUAAACAUCUGACACCUUUAGCCAUUAUUAUCAUAUUGUGAAACCAAGCUAAAUAAAUCGUAUGAAAUAUGUAGUGAAAUGGACACUGCAAUCUGAAGUUAGUUGUGAUGGAUACUCUGAUGGGAACAAAUGACUUGAGCAUAUCUUGCUAUGGAGGAUGUUCAACUUUAGGAGGCUCCAAUUAUAAAUAAACUUGAGCAGCAGAUGUAGCCGUGUUGUAACAGGGCCUAACUGGUAGUGGCGCUGAUACAAAGUAUUUUAACAAUAUCCAAAAUAUUCAAGUUGUGAUAUAAAUCAAUUGUCACUCACUUUGUGUAAAUUGCUUGCAUAAAUUCUCUUGUUGUCAGUAUCUGCAACCUGUCUCUGCUAAUAGCCAUGUGUUUUUGUGUUUGCACAUGCUAUUUUUUCUGUGGUACCUAGUCACCAUGGGUCCUCCACAUGAUCAAAGAGUGUAUCAUUGCUAUUAUAUUAUGCAUGGCUUUGAACUCAUUUGACACAAUUUCUAAGCUAACACUUUGAAAGUUUUAUGGUGAGUUCAAACACUUCAUAUAAGUAAAUGCUUGUUUUGCUCCUUUUCUAUAUAUCUGUAGAUUUUAGGGAAUUUAACUCUCUAAAUUAUGAAAAUGCAGGUUACCUCUUCUCUCUAAAUCA